AAAAAAAAAAAAAAAAGAAAACAAUGCAUGCGUGUCUUUUUUGUUAGUUGAAUUGUUGAGGUAACGGCAGUUACCGUUACCUAACGAUAAAUAACAGUCAUUACCAUUACUUAACGGUGGUAAUGGCUAUUACCACUGCAACUCAGCAUUUGCCUUUAAAUAAUGAGGUAAAGAAUAAUGGUCCCUUGAAAAACUCGUAAUGUUAUUUAAAACCUUGCUCACUUUAUAUAAUAGCAGUCUCCAAUCUCCACCAUCACCAAACCAAGACAACAUACAUGCAUCUUAUGAGGCAUAAAGCCAAGACAAAGUGGUGGAUUUAUGUGUCAAAUGAAAAGUAAUGUGGCUUCAAAAAACUGCAGCUCAACAACCCCGCGUUUUCAUUAUUUUUAUACUUUUCAUUUUGCUUCUCGUUAUCUUUAUUUAUUUAUGGAAAAUGUUGCUAAUAUUGGCUGUUUUUUAUUUAUUAUUUAAUAUAGAAAUAAUUAUAACACAAAUAAUUCCAUUGCACAAGCUAUGAUCCCACAAGCUGAUGUAUCAUCAUGCCCAGGCAUCCAAUUGGAAGCCGACACUUGGCUUCACUAAAAAAAGCUGCUUCAACAUUUUCUUUUUCAUUUUUGCUUUCAUUGUGAUGCUCAAACAAUUGGUUUGCAUUUUUGACAUUUAUAGUGUUAGUUUGCUUCAAGACUUCGCUAAUCUGUAACAAUUCACCCUGAUUUGAGAAUUACUUCUUGAGACACAGAGUUGAGGAUUAUUUUUUUCUUUUCACACAAAUCUCAUUUCCUUGAGCACUGUUGUUGGUAAUGUGUUUUAUGCUGUGUUUGGGAAAGAGGAAAAGGGUAGGGGGAGAGAAAUUGUUUCUUAAGAUGUGUGCCCUACAACCUCAUUUUCUCCCCCCCCCUCCCCUUCCCUCUGCCAAACAUGGCAUUAAGCUAAAUAGCUAAGCAAGAUAUUGAAUUAGAAGAUGAGCACCUCAUUUUCGCAAUGUGAAGGAUGUCUUAAUACAUUUAUCAUUCUUAUUUCUCUUUCCUUCCCUUCUUUUUCUGUGUUUUCAGCUAAGGGGAAUAUCAACUUUGCGUCCGUUUCCAUUGCUUGUCUUUUCUUUCUAU
RNAcentral lists this unclassified non-coding RNA (1106 nucleotides) under Hevea brasiliensis (rubber tree). The record is from RNAcentral. Lineage: Eukaryota; Viridiplantae; Streptophyta; Magnoliopsida; Malpighiales; Euphorbiaceae.